UUUUUUUAAUGCCAAGUUGUUUGUGAACAAAAUGUCUGCCUAACUGCCGACAAGUAGCUUACGGGAGCUCUACUUCAUAAUUUGAGGGCUUCAGCGGAGAAUAUAAGAACACUUUCAAUGCAACAAGGGUCGGGCUGGCGCCGUGGGUUACACAUGCGUGCCUCGACACCUGAGCGGCCACUUUUUCCUCCCGACAGCCAAGCAGCCUGGAGCACUCGUUCCGUUGCGAUAGUGCACCGUCCGCAGCAUUAUCAAGCGCAACCUUCCGGCUCAUGGACAUCGGGUCAAGAGGAGGAAAAGAGACAGCUGCAUGACCAUUUCAACAAGGACGGAAUACACAACCUCUGGAUUCAUGGAAGUUGGCUUCCAAACAACUUCUUUGCAUCUCAACGCAAGGGGGGCAGACACAACUUCAGCUGUGGCAUUCAGGUGUCAUGCUGCCGCUAGGUGAGGUCAUACGCAAAUACGGAGUUAGCUUUCACUGUUAUGCUGAUGACACCCAACUCUACAUGCCCCCAAAGCUGACCAACACGCCGGAUUGUAGUCAGCUGGAGGCAUGUCUUAAUGAAAUUAAACAAUGGAUGUCCGCUAACUUUUUGCAACUCAACGCCCAAAAAACAGAAAUGCUGAUUAUCGGUCCUGCUGGACACCGACCUCUAUUUAAUAAUACAACUUUCACAUUUGACAACCAAACAAUUAAACAAGGCGACUCGGUAAAGAAUCUGGGUAUUAUCUUCGACCCAGCUCUCUCGUUUGAGUCACACAUUAAGAAUGUUACUAAAACGGCCUUCUUUCAUCUCCAUAAUAUCGCUAAAAUUCGCUCCAUUUUGUCCACUAGUGACGCCGAGAUCAUUAUCCAUGCGUUCGUUACGUCUUGUCUCGAUUACUGUAACGUAUUAUUUUCGGGUCUUCCCAUGUCUAGCAUUAAACGAUUACAGUUGGUACAAAAUGCGGCUGCGAGACUUUUGACAAGAACAAGAAAGUUUGAUCAUAUUACGCCUAUACUGGCUCACCUGCACUGGCUUCCUGUGCACUUAAGAUGUGACUUUAAGGUUUUACUACUUACGUAUAAAAUACUACACAGUCUAGCUGCAGCCUAUUUUGCCAAUUGUAUUGUACUAUAUGUCCCCGCAAGAAAUCUGCGUUCAAAGGACGCCAGCUUAUUAGUGAUUCCCAGAGCCCAAUAAAAGUCUGCGGGCUAUAGAGCGUUUUCCGUUCGGGCUCCAGUACUCUGGAAUGGCCUCCUGGUAACAGUUUGAGAUGCUACCUCAAUAGAAGCAUUUAGGUCUCACCUUAAAACUCAUUUGUAUACUCUAGCCUCUAAAUAGACCCCCUUUUUAGACCAGUUGAUCUGCCGUUUCUUUUCUUUUUCUCCUCUGUCCCACUCUCCCUUGUGGAGGGCGUCCGGUCCAGUGGCCAUGGAUGAAGUACUGGUUGUCCAGAGUCGGGACCCAGAAUGGACCGCUCAUCCAGAGUUGGGACCCAGGUUCGACCGCUCGCCUGUGUAUCGGCUGGGGACAUUCUCCGCUUGGGAUGGUUUCCUGUUGGCUCCUCUAUGGACGGGACUCUCGCUACUGUGUUGGAUCCACUUUGGACUGGACUCUCACGGUUGUCGAGCGGGUCAUGUUAGACCCGCUCGACAUCCAUUGCUUUCGAUCCCCUGGGGGUGGUUGCCCACA
Nerophis ophidion (straightnose pipefish) is the source of this 1679-nucleotide long non-coding RNA. RefSeq lists it as uncharacterized. The record is from RefSeq and is a predicted model, not a curated record. The transcript is spliced from 2 exons. Lineage: Eukaryota; Metazoa; Chordata; Actinopteri; Syngnathiformes; Syngnathidae.